UGGGGAAUAUUGCACAAUGGGCGAAAGCCUGAUGCAGCGACGCCGCGUGAGGGAUGACGGCCUUCGGGUUGUAAACCUCUUUCAGCAGGGACGAAGCGCAAGUGACGGUACCUGCAGAAGAAGCACCGGCUAACUACGUGCCAGCAGCCGCGGUAAUACGUAGGGUGCAAGCGUUGUCCGGAAUUACUGGGCGUAAAGAGUUCGUAGGCGGUUUGUCGCGUCGUUUGUGAAAACCAGCAGCUCAACUGCUGGCUUGCAGGCGAUACGGGCAGGAUUGAGUACUGCAGGGGAGGAUGGAAUUCCUGGUGUAGCGGUGAAAUGCGCAGAUAUCAGGAGGAACACCGGUGGCGAAGGCGGGUCUCUGGGCAGUAACUGACGCUGAGGAACGAAAGCGUGGGUAGCGAACAGG
This 409-nucleotide ribosomal RNA is filed under the name bacterium. RNAcentral's name for it is "partial 16S ribosomal RNA". It matches the Rfam family "Bacterial small subunit ribosomal RNA", at positions 355 to 776 of the family's 1533-position model. The record is from RNAcentral.